Molecule: small RNA, 84 nt
Filed under: Arabidopsis thaliana (thale cress)
Lineage: Eukaryota; Viridiplantae; Streptophyta; Magnoliopsida; Brassicales; Brassicaceae
Description: ATSL117510
Source: RNAcentral
UUGGUUUUUUGGUUUUUUUUAUGCCUUGCAAGUAGUUUUCUUCAGACUCUCGAAGAUGGUUUUUUAGGAUUUUUGUUCUUUUUA